Molecule: long non-coding RNA, 744 nt
Organism: Oreochromis aureus
Lineage: Eukaryota; Metazoa; Chordata; Actinopteri; Cichliformes; Cichlidae
Source: Ensembl
UGUGAUUAUAAAGGCCUUAAAUUCUGUGAUAUAUACUGUAAAUGAUUUUCACAGAGGUCUUAAAGUACUUAAAUCACUGCUGAUAGUCUGGUUGUUUAUAUUUUCACAUGUUUUUGUGUCUGUAGGGCUGUUUGAUGACGAUUUGGACUCCUCUGGGAGAUGAGGACACACCCACAUCUGUUCCAUACUGCAGCCAUUGAUGGUGUUACAGCUCUGAGUCAGCUUUGGGCCAUCAGACGCACACACUGGAAAACCAGCACCUGGACUUCAUGCAGGAGAGACGGCCUCAGUGAUAAUUCAUCAGCAGCUGUGGAGAGAUGCAUUUGAAUAUCUUCUGGUUCCACUUUUCCUUACCUGGAAGCUGAGUAUUGCUGAUUUCUGACAAGGACACACACCUCAGCGCUUAUCAUGGGUGUUACAUCCUCUGUGCAGCAAUUCCAGAGAAAACGAGAGAGCAACGACCACUCAUUAAGACCAGCCAGAAAUCUGUCCCUUUCUGGCAGCUGUGGAAACUUCCAAUAAGAAAGUUUGCAUUCUUAGAACAAUGCUGGAUCAUGUGUGAUGUGUCAUCAUAUGAGGAUAUUGCAUUUUGCCUUAAUUCUGCUCAAUUAAGUGUUUUGAUCGUUGAUCCAGUAUGGCAGCUUUGUGUUGUGCUGCAAGUUAAAACCCAUUGUCCUCAUGAGCACAGCAUCCAACAACUCUCCUUGAAAAAAGUCGAUUGACUUUAACUGGACACAAUGGUUU